RNAcentral lists this ribosomal RNA (436 nucleotides) under uncultured bacterium. RNAcentral describes it as "bacterial SSU rRNA". It matches the Rfam family "Bacterial small subunit ribosomal RNA", at positions 28 to 462 of the family's 1533-position model. The record is from RNAcentral.
GAUGAACGCUGGCGGCGUGCUUAACACAUGCAAGUCGAACGGGAUCCAGGCAGCUUGCUGCCUGGUGAGAGUGGCGAACGGGUGAGUAAUGCGUGACCGACCUGCCCCAUACACCGGAAUAGCUCCUGGAAACGGGUGGUAAUGCCGGAUGCUCCGACUCCUCGCAUGGGGUGUCGGGAAAGAUUUCAUCGGUAUGGGAUGGGGUCGCGUCCUAUCAGGUAGUCGGCGGGGUAACGGCCCACCGAGCCUACGACGGGUAGCCGGCCUGAGAGGGCGACCGGCCACAUUGGGACUGAGAUACGGCCCAGACUCCUACGGGAGGCAGCAGUGGGGAAUAUUGCACAAUGGGCGCAAGCCUGAUGCAGCGACGCCGCGUGCGGGAUGACGGCCUUCGGGUUGUAAGCCGCUUUUGAUCGGGAGCAAGCCUUCGGGUGAG